Molecule: transfer RNA, 73 nt
Filed under: Bacillus thuringiensis
Lineage: Bacteria; Bacillati; Bacillota; Bacilli; Caryophanales; Bacillaceae
Description: tRNA-Met
Rfam family: tRNA
About the family: Transfer RNA (tRNA) molecules are approximately 80 nucleotides in length. Their secondary structure includes four short double-helical elements and three loops (D, anti-codon, and T loops).
Source: RNAcentral
GGACCUUUAGCUCAGUUGGUAGAGCAGACGGCUCAUAACCGUCCAGUCGUAGGUUCGACUCCUACAAGGUCCA